GCAACAAUCAUCUUCCUCCUCCAACCUCCAUAACCACUGCCUGAAAAGGGAGUGGACACAAGAGACAUACCAGGAACGUCGGAGGAGUAAAUUAGGAGGGGACUAGUAGAGUCCGCAGGGGAGGUAUUAGUAUUCGUAUUAUCAGCCAUGAAUAAUGAACAAGGUUAACAACACAGAAAUAGUCUCAAUGAACAGAUCACAAUCAAACCAGAACUCACAUGCAACAUAUACAACACUUAGAACAGAGAAAGUGCUACCCUUCUUCUUCGCAACCGGAGAAGAAUGGCCUUCAACCACCGGAUGAAACUAAGUCCGGUCAGCGGAAAUUGCAGAUAAACGGAAACUCACCAAAGUAAGGUCACAAACGUCGGAGACUUACCCAAAACGUCUAUCGACUGAAAGCAAAAUCAUCGGAUAGCAUCAAAACCCCGGGUCCGAAGGUCGAAAAAC
RNAcentral lists this long non-coding RNA (450 nucleotides) under Nicotiana benthamiana. RNAcentral's name for it is "long non-coding RNA (NBEN_LNC026962)". The record is from RNAcentral. Lineage: Eukaryota; Viridiplantae; Streptophyta; Magnoliopsida; Solanales; Solanaceae.